Molecule: long non-coding RNA, 3053 nt
Organism: Tyto alba (common barn owl)
Lineage: Eukaryota; Metazoa; Chordata; Aves; Strigiformes; Tytonidae
Exons: 5
Source: RefSeq, a predicted model, not a curated record
UAAACUGGUAGGAACAGCGUCUCGUGGAUCACAGAGUUCUGCAGUUCGUGACGGCACUGAACAACAGCUCAGUGAAGAAAGAGCUAAAGCUCUCCUAUUAACCUCAUCUAAUUCCUGGCCUUCCUGAGCUCCCUCUCAGGAUGAAGGAUCCUGUUACACAGGCCACAUCGUGACUGUGGUUACCAGAGGAAGGACUUAAAACUUCAACAUAAAAGCUUCAGCAAAGCAAGAGUGUGCCACUGGCUGCACCUUUUGCAAAGCUUGUGACAGGAACUGAAAGUGGACCUGCAUCACCGUCAAGAAACAUCGCCCAAGUACCUGCAGGAGAAGAAACAAACCAGUUUCAAGCAAAUAGAAGACUGCACAGAAGUUUCCCUCCUUCCGUUUCGUUCAGUGUUUGGGCUUCCACCCUAAUCUCAGCAGAGGACCAUUUUAAUUUAUUGGUAGUUCCACAGAAAUUGAAUAGUGCAAGUGGGAGGACAGCCUCUAGCAAUUAAGAAUAAAAACAGGAUGCAACUUAAAAUAUCGGUAACAUACUGUAUCAGACAGAGAAAAGCAUCUACUGGCUGCCCUGUGAAGCUGAAAAGACUCAAGAAGAUGUGAAUGUCUCAGGAAAAAGAACAAACCAACCAACCACAACUUAACACCAAGUCAAAUUGUAUCAGUCAUAGUAGCAGUAGUCUUCUCCAUCUAUCCCAAUGCACAAAGUUGAGAGCCACAAAGGCCUUUCAAGUGCAACAAACGCAUAGCAAAAGGUGUUGAAACACAAGAGAAGGCAGUCCAGACAUUUUCCAUCUAAUAAUCCCCCGAAGUGCAAAGCACACAUUAGAACACAAAACAACGAAUAAGGAGGUAAGGACAAACAACUCUCAAGAGACCAACAGCGACAUGCUAAUCUACAGGUAUGUCCUCAGAAACUGACUUGAGAAGCUUAUUUUAAAAACACACUAAAUUGUCACAAAAACCCCACAUGUCAAUAUACUGUGCAGUCAACAAACUCUGUGCAGCUGUUUAAGAACAAAUUAAACAAUAUAUUGUAUCUUUAAAGCCAGAGGAGCUAUUCAAUCAUGAACUCCGGUAUCUGUAAACCACAGCAAUUCCAACACCCAGUAUUCCAUCCAAGGACACGUCUGAUUAAAUCAUACUCUUCAGAAAAGCAUCCAGAAUCAAAGACACCACAAAAGGUUUUGGAGUAGUAACUCUAGACAUCUGACCAUCAACAACGUAAAUAGUGUUAGAGAUUCCGUGACAAAAACACUUCCUGAUGCUUGAAAGCCAGCAUCAUUUGUUUGAUUUGAAAGGGACCUCUGCAGCCCUCAUGGUCAUCAUGAUAUGGAAGGAUAAGCCACAGAGAGACCAGCUAGAAACUUAACACAUCUUUAGGGAAAAUAUCAUUAAGAGGCAAAUAAUGGUCUGUUAUGCAUUUGUCUGACUGUACCAGACAAUCCUAAAUCAAACCUCCUAAAACCCAACUGUUCCAGAAAUUAAAAUGGAAAAAAGAAAAAAAAAACUCUUUUCCUUCUGUGUCUUCAAAGGCAGAAAAUGCACUUUUCCCAAAAAACAUUUCGCUAAAUCUUGUAUGUCAACUACAGAUUUACUCUAUCAUACCAAUCUAUGACCACAAAAAUGUAACAUUCCUAUAUAAAAGCAAAAAAUGUAUCAUUAGUGGUUUUCAACAGAUUUCAUGUCCAGCAACAUCUGCAGAGCAAUAGAUUUCACUUAACCAGACCACGAUCUUUUCUAACCACAAAGCCAAGCAACGGAUUAAUUUCAAAAUAGCACCGGUCAGAUGUACCACUUUUGCACAUGGAUAAAGCAGCAAAUGCACUUGACCAAAGGCUGCCAAACUAACCAUAUGCUGUCCCAUGACCAUGAAUUACUAUUUCAGUUUUGAGAACAAGUAUUAUAUAAAAGACAAUUAGGAUUGGUAACUUGGAUCUACAGAAUACCUUUGCUCAUGAACGAACCCAUGUUAAAUUCAUGGCCAAAUUCUAUAUAAAGUUUGCUAAUUACCAAAGUUAUUUCGUAAUAACUUGCCUAAAACUUUACAAUACUUACUCCUCUUUUGACACAAAAUGAGGUCAAAGUGCUGAAUUCAACAUUACAAUCUAUUGCCCUGGAAAUUAUUGCAGAGUUUAGACAAAGAAGUUUAUUAUGAGAUCUAAUAGGAUUGCCUGAGAGAAAAUGUUUUCAUUCUCUUCCUGAAAGCAACACAAGACAGACAGACUGGAAGCUCUUUGAGUAAGGACUCUUCCAACAUUUUAAGACAGAACCAAGCAUAUUUCCAGUAACAGUAUACGUGCUCCUUUUUUCAGGGUUUUGUUCUAAUAAUUGACAUUUCCUUUCAGCACCCCAUACAAUUUUCAUCAGCAUGGAAGCCUCUUAAGAAAAAUAAGCCCCAGAAUUAGAAGUCCACUUACACUUGCAUUAAUUUAGGAAAACUAGUUUUUAAUUAAUUUACCCUGUUUCUUCCAUACAUAAACUUUAGCAACUUCCCUUCAAAAAUAUCUAAAACAGAAGUGCAAGUUAUAAUCCUACCAAAACUGUAACCUUGCUUCUGUCAUAACUUGUGUAUCUACACUAGUAGAAAGACAGUUUAUUUGUACUUCACUAUGAGUUAGUAAAGCACACCCAGUUUGCUCUCUGUAGGUGAAGAAUGUACAAGUAUUCACGCAGACCUCUGCUUUCCUGCCAACAACACCAGCAACCUCUAAGUCCUGAUCACUUCAUUUGCACUACUCAGAACUGAACUCAGUAAAACAAAAUUCCGAUCACUACCAAAUCUUACACAUUUUUUUCAUUCAAUGUUACUUUUUAGUUAAUAAAUGAAAGCUUUUCACAUUUUUAAAUGAUACAUGCAUAUUUAGCAGUAGACCUAUUUUCCAGCCCUGUAUUAAAGUUCUUUAUUUUAUCAUCUGCCUGUAAAUAUUCAUCUCAUGUAGGAAAAAGGGUGCAUCUCAUUAAAUUAUUAUUUAGAUAUCUGAAAAUUGUGUUGCUCAACAAAAAAAAAAAAACACAAAUAACUAUGUCUUUGGCAAGAGACUAAAUAAAGU